CACAUAAAAAUUGGGAAUUAAGUGAGUUUUUUCUAAAUAUAUCUUACCCCUAGUUUCUCCUCUAGUAUGUUUGGGGUUUUUACCUUUUUGGACAAUUAAGUAUUGCAAAGUGACAGUUGAUAGCUAAUUUGUAAGGAAGUGUAAGUGCAGCUCUAUGACUGUAUUUCUUUGUGAUAGUAUGUAUAUAAUUUUUGACAGUCUUUCAAAAGUGUAUUUGCAGGAAGUCCUUGAAAGAGCUGCUUCCCUUCAAGCAUCCUUGUCUGAGGCACUUCCAAGCAUCUUCAGACUCAUUCAAAACACUGUUAAGUUUUCUCCAGUCUGGGCUAAAACUUCAAAGGGAAGUGUGUCAAAAGGCGCUCCCACCAGAAUCUCUGCUUUGUAUUCUCUGCUGAAUGAAAGGAUUUAAAAUGAUUUUGUUUACUAAAUAUAAGCUGCAGACUAUUUUUCUGACCUAGUUAUCUACCAGUCAUAGUGGAAAUAUAAUUAACACAGGCACAAAUUAUGAUUGCUGAUUCUUUUGGCAGUAAAAGAUUACUCAUAAUGCACAUUUAUUGUGCUUGCUAUUACUAACCAUAUUGAUUCCCAGCAUGCUUAAGGAAUACAGCAACAGGCAAUACUGUGUGAGAUGCCAUGCAAAAAAUCAUUGCAGAGACCCAAACAGUGCUACAAAUGUGUUGCCAUUAAACAAGCCUGUGGUUAUUUAUGACAAAAAUGACACUGUGGCUCAUCUUUCUUGGUGGCAGCACUAGCAAUAGUAUUUGUGCAAUUUUUCUGGAGAAGCUGCUCUUGUUUGUCAUUAAUACUUCUCCUGCAUCUUCACUUAUAGUGUGACAACAACAUUGGCAAUUUUGGUAAUUUUCCCAGAUUGGCAGUGGGGGUUACACAGGGUUUAUCCACACUUUUUUCUUCACCUUUUCUUUCACAUUCAUGUGAGAGCUUGCAAGUUCAACAGAAUAUUUUAAAAACAAAUAUGGAGACAUAUUUUUUGACUAAUUUGAAUCAAACUGGCUUGUGAACAUAGCUUAAGCAAAUGAUUAACCAGGCAAAAACAUUGCAGAAUGUUAGCAGGGGUUGCCUGUCUAUAAGCAUAUUUAAUCAUUUAGGUCAUUCUACACUUUGCUUCUCUUCAUAUCCCAUGUACUUCUCUAUCAUCCCUUAACUUGCAAAAGAAAUGGCCAAAAACACUUAUUCAAAGUUAUUCUCUUUGAUUUGUUUUUCAAUUUACAUUUGUUCCAGAAAGUGGAUGUAUUCAGAUUGAUUGUCUGUAACAAUAGUUACUGAAUUAACUUUGUUAUUAAAGUUCUUUCCCAAUUUUUUUUUCUAAUUGUAGACCACACGUACUAGAGAAAAAUUUUUAGUUUAAGUUUGCAGUGUUAUUUUGAAAGGUCAGAAAUGCAGACUCUGAAACUCAAUACAGACACUGUAAAACAAGCUCUGAACUGAGGUAAGUCUUCGUUCAGAGAGCUAGAGAACAGCCUAUGCCUGUGAACUCUGAGGGCACACGUGUACUGAAUUUUCUGUUUCUUGAGAUUUUUUGAAAUGUGUGUUUGCCACAUAAAAGGAAUUGCUAUAGAGCUGCCAACUCUCCUUUCAGCAGUGGAGAGCAGACCCUCAUUACUGAUGUGAAGGACAAUGAAGGGCAUAAAGAUCUUCUGAAUGUUCACUUGGUAACUCUUAUUAGAGGACCAGGCUCUUCCCAAAGAGGGAACCUCCUCCUCAGCCUGUUUAUAUUACUCUGGAUGAAAUAACACACAUUUACUCAAGUUCUGUUACUGGAAUGUGCAUGUACUACCUAAUAAGAAAGUUUCUUUUUUGUUUUUUAAUUGAUACAUAUUACUGAAAAUAGUUUAAUACUUUUUACUGAGUGUUCACUUUUACUCAUUGAUGUAUAGACUUGAUCUAAGGUUAUGACAUCCGGUAUUCAAAAAUGAUAAUGAAUGCUUUCAUCAUCUGUAAUGAUGGUAAACGAACCAUCAUUAUGAUGAUAAAGGUAAUGAACUUCUGAAUCAUACUAAGCUGAAGCAGCGAAUGCCAGUAACUACCACUCGCAAGGCCUGGAGGCUGAGGAAGGUGCUCUCAGAAACACGGGAUCUUCAGUAACAUUCUCUAAGUCUGAUCUACUGGAAAGGCAGACAAAUAGAAGGAUCACCUGGCAAUUCAAUCACAAGUUCUUGAGAGACUGAUUGUCAAUCACCCAUGUCAUGCGUUCAAAUCAACUCUUGAUCCUCUCCCCACUUGCAGACUACUUUGGAUCAUUGUUCCUGACUCAGCACCCACUGCCCAGUUGUCUUUGAUGCAAACCCAGAAUUUGGAGUUACCUGAAAAGACUUUAAUGCCCCCAUUUAGAUUGGCUGCUCUGCAUCAUCACACGGAAGAGUAUGUAAUUGUCCACCAGGAAUGAAGGAUAAGAGGACCAGCUUUCAGAAGGUGGAAAAUAGAUUGAGGAGUUUGAGGAGUGGUGUUGACAACAGAUCUCCAGAAAAGCAUAGAGUGGAUGACAUUCUUAAAAGCAGAAAGAAACCCCUAAAAUAUUUAGAAGAACAAAUAUCACUUCAAACUAUAUUGACCAUCGGAAUUGGGGUUUUAUUGACUGAAAGCCACUAAUAAUAUGAAUUUAUUUUAAUUCAAAUAUUAAUAUGUGUUUUGAAAACCACAGAUAUUUUAAAACAUUGAAUCCAAUGCUUGAUUUAAGAUUUUUUUUUUUUUUAAGUAGGUCAUGUACCUCAUGAUACAUCAUGAGCUGGAAAUGUUUAUAUGCUAGUAGAAAACUUGGGAAAUGCUUCAAAUGAACUUCUUGCAACUUGGUAUAACUUGAACACCUAAAAUAUUUCUACCCUAAUUUUGUGGCUUAGAAAUGGUAUUCCCCAAAUUAGUGCUACCACUAAAAAGCCCCCCAAAACCCAGGAGUCCCUGCCCUCCUCUGACAGAAAGCACAAAAGGCAGAGGUCAUGGGCUCAGGUAAGAACAAUACACUGGAAACAGAAGUGAGUUACAACAGUAACAGUGACAUUAUUAAUGGCAGAAAUAUAUAAAAAGAUAGGGUGAGUCACAUGCAAAAAUGCUCACUGCACACUUCAGGUGACAAUGAACAAUGGUAAACAGCUUCCCCCUCCCACCUUGGCCUUCUCAGAAGAAAGUGACCCUUACCCCUACCCCUGGAGGUGGUAAAAAAAACAGCUUGGCCAUGCCCACAUGGCUGCAGCUUUGCCCUCUCAUGGCUAGUACAAAAGUUCACUUUUGUCCUGGCUGGAACCAGGACAACCAAGUAUAUUUUUUUCUGCUUGAAAAUGGGGUAUAUUGUAGUGCAAAAAAGAACUUUAGUCUUAAUGGAAGCAUAUAUGUAAAUUACUGUUCUGAAAUAUCUUCGCAGUUUCACAGAAUAUUCUGAGUUGGAAGGGACCCACCAGGACCAUUGAGUUAACUCUUAAGUAAAUGAGAAAAUAGUGGCAUUGCACACAUAUGUUAGAAAGAAUUAUAGUAAAAAAAAAUUAUGCUUUUGUAUACUUACAGAUAUAUUGUGCAAAGCAAACAAAAGCCUAAACUUUGUUUAGCAUGAUCUCUGCAGAAAGGAAGUUUUAGAGCAGGAUUAUUUGAAGGAGUAAAAUGCGCUCUCUCCAAGAUUAAGAGCACUAUAUGCAGGUGGUACUAUUCCUACAGAUAUAAAAUUGCUGAGGUAUGGUAACUUAAUCUUCACAGUAGAUUCUACAGUAGACCUCUUUCACUAUCUGUGCUAGACAAGAUCUAGAACAGUAGAUAUCUUACCUAGAACAUUUUGCAGAUUGUACACAUGCUACAGAUUUAGAGGGGCACUAUAUUCUCAUGUGUUCUAAUACCACACAAACAGCACUUGCUGUUCCUAAUUUCAUAACCCUUCUUCAUGUGAGGAAAUUAAUAUGAUGGAUCUUAUAUCUUCACAUCUAGCAACAUGUAGGGAGACUGGAAAAGUGGCUAGAGAAAUAAACCUGAGCUGAUAAAGGCAAUUAAUGCACAUUUUGGUUGAAGAUGUUCUUGUAAGUUACUAGACAAAUCCUUUGAAUCCUACCUAUCAGAGUAGAAAUGAGAAAAAAUGUAAAAGGAUUCAAUACUUCAGUCUUCCAAUGUAAUUAGGUGUAAGAUAUGUUCAUGGUUGAAAGAAGUUAUUUCUAAUUUGUUCUUUGCUUUUUAUUUAAGGCCACAUAAAAAAUAGUGACUUAGUCUUGAAAAAUCUGUAACUAUACUUUGAAUCUACCAAGAAAUAUGCGCAAUAAUUUAAUGGGGAAAAAAAUAAAGAAAAGUUCUCAUUUCCUUAUUUUGCCUUGAGCACAACAUCUCAGCAUCAGACUGAAAUACAGUUGCUUUAAGAUUGCUUUCUAGUAGUAGCUGCUGUACUAAAAUAUUUUUAAAAUUUGGUUUUUAUGUUUACUUGUAAUUGUGCAUUGUUCUCUACAAAGCAUUUAAUGAAAAUAUAAAACAUUUUCUUUAGUUAUUUUCAUUAAAAUUUAUGUUCUCAUUUCUAAGGAGUCAGUUUGAUGUCUUGCAUAGCAAAGAGGUUGUACUGUGGUACAAGAGUGUCAUCUAGUGAAUGACUUGGGCGAAGGACAAACGCCUCAGUAGUAGUCAGACUGUGAGUCAUGCUACAAAUAUAGCUGAUUAGUCAGCAGGAAUGUUCAGAGCAUUUUAAAACUUUCCUUCAGAUCAACACUGAACACCAAAAAGAAUUGUUUGACAAUAUUUUUAUUAAAAGGAAAAGGAUAAUUCAUCAUUUACUGCUUCAACACGGUACAUAUCCUUCUUUAAGACCUUCUUGUGUACUAAAACAGUUCAAACUUCCAGUACUCAUGGAAUAAAUGUGAAGCAAAUUACAUUAGAAAGUUAAUUAGGAGAUUUCUUUUUCUAAAACAAGCUUAACCCUUAUCUGAGUUGUUGAAAACCUUAGAUAUUAAUUUGCUUUACGUAGGAAAAAAUAAACAACUGUUUUCUGCAGAAAGGUCUGAAAAAGACCCCAAACCAGGAAGAGUAUUUUUCUUGAAGGCUCUUUUAUGCCUUUAAAAAAGUUAGUUAAAUUCUGCAAUAGUGUAUUUUGAUAACUAUGCCCAUAUGUUAUACCUGCAGUGGAAUAAAAGAUUUAAGGUGAUUGCAAGUUCUGUAUCUUCUCAUUGUUUGGUAUUCAAUAUACCACUGAUUUACCAGGAAAGAUAAUCAGGAAAUACUUACAAAAUUCUAGCUGUAAAUUACUAUUCCUGCUAAAUAGACAAUUUAGUUGGCAGAAUGAGGUAUUCAGCUGCAUGUGAAGAACAGAAAUCUAUACUAGGCAGUGAUGGUUAAUAAUUUUUAUCCUACAGGCAACUAUAUGUUAGAGAUGGAGGGAAGUAGGUGGGUAAAAAAGGAUAUUUUGAGUAUCAUGCCUUUAUUUUUAAUCACACCAAAAUAAUUAAUUUCAGGUUCUGAUUUUACAUGUGCAUAUAAUAAGUACUGAUAAGAAUGGCUCUAAAAAAAGCACUAAUUGACAUUUAUUAGACUUCCAAUCUGAUUUUUUUUUUAAAAUUAAUUGUAAUGAAAUUAAAUUCUCAGCUGAGACACCUCAACUGAUAGCAAAUCCUAUUAUUAUACUGACAUGAGAAAAGUUUAUCUGAUUAAUUUCAGCUGUUCCCUUAUGUCCUUAUUUGUAAUCAUUCCCUUUCCCUUUCUCUAGGUUCCUUUCAGUUAUAGAUUCCUUUUUUAAACUCAGUCAUAUUUUUUUCCCAUGCUGUUUGCCUUGACUAUAUUUUAUAGGUUACCCUUUCACUUUUAAAGCCAUCUGCUUUUCUAAUCUUUCUGCUCCCUAGGUACCACUUUUUAAAAUUAGUGUGGUAGGGGGAAAUAGCAGCAAAAUACAGUAGCAGUUGUGGAAAUAAAAGCUAUUAAAUAAGAUAAACGAGUCUCAGUAAAGGAUUCAGGACUUUUUUGCGUGAUACCAGUUACAGGUUCAACACUGUUCUGAUCAUGCUAUGCUUUGAAUGUUUGUGGGUUUGAGAAUAUGCAGAAAACAGAAAACUAACCUUUUCUGAUAAUUGUAAUGACCCUGGUUUUUAAAAUCUUUUAGCUAGUCUUUAGGUGUUAUGUGUACUGAUCUGAAUCUUUCAAAGUAUUGUCAAAUUCUUUCACUACUUAUUCAAACUAUGGGAAGUAUUUUGAUAUCAUAAUAAAAAGUCAUAUUCUAUUCUCUGUGUAAUAUAUGGCUCUAAAACUUGAGCCCUAACUUGGUGAAGCUGGAAAUACCUUUUAAUAAUUCAAGAUAUUAAAAUUCUUUAGUUCUCUCUUACUUUAUUCAUGAAGGAACAUUUUUUUUUCUAAUUAUGAUCAUUAAGGAUCAUCCCUCCAGAGGGAGGGUCACUCUUGGACCGCAGUUUGUCCUCUGCUAUUUUUCAGACCAUUUUCAAUCCAUGUUUCUUGAUGUAAUGGCUUAUACGUGUAGUUAUCAUCUCCUCCUUUAGGGAAUGUAGCUCUCUUCCAGUGUAACAGGCAAACACUGUGCAGCCAUACAAUCAGGUUUGCCUAGAACUGAAAAGCAAGAUUUUAAAUUUUACUAUUAAACUCAUGCAUAAAACACAGGAAUCUAGCUCUAAACCAAAAUACACUCUGAGUGCACUGUAAGGGCCAUGGUAGCAAGAUCUAUCAUGCUACACUGCCAAAUGGCAGACUUCAUUCCUCUUCCUAAACAAAAACCCAUAUAGCUUCUCUGAGGUUUGAUUCUGCAUUUUUCCCUUAGUGCAUUAUAAAUAAACUUGAAAUAUUUUAGGUAUACCACUCCACCCAUUUUUCUUGACAUCUGCCAUAUAGAUUGCCAUCUCUUUUAGAACAAUAGCAAUUAUUUACUAGUUUCUUUCUUAUGGUGCUAAGUUUCCAACUAUAUUUUCUUUUAUAUGCUGGCAGCAUGCUCAGAACUGCAUUUCCUGCCUGUUAACAAUCUUGAGCAGACAAAGAAUUCUCUGGCACUGCACAGAGACAGCCCUAGUUCAGAUAUCCAUGGAAAAAAUUCAGCAACGCACUGCCCCAGGUGUGAUGUCUUCCUGGAAGUCCUGAAGCAUUCGGGACCACAAGGCCACCAUGCAGUAGAUGGCCUUCAGCAAGAGGCAAAUGCUGAGGAGAAACACCUACAUUACUGUGACAUGAAGUCUUUGCCAAAACAAUGAGAUUAAAACAAAACAAACAAACAAAAAAGACCCCAUUUUUAACCAUUUUGAUGGGCUUCCAAGUUCUAGUAUUAAAUCAUAAGCUGCCUGUAUUAGUCUGUUAGAUUGUCUCCUAACUUUUUCCAUCUGGCCAUCAACUGGCCCAUUAGUCCUUCUCUGGGACAAAUAACUGCCAGGUUUUCGGAAUUAGGAGCCAGAUUAUCUUUCAACAGCCAUACUGAGUCCUCCUACUUACACAGCUGUCAGUACUUACGGCAAACCCUUCCCAGUGCUUGUGAUGGUAGCUACAUAUAAAUGAGAUUUCUUUGAUGCCUUUGGUGUGAUAUCCUGUUCUGGAGGUAGUGGCUUGUUUAAUUGUCAUGGGGUGGUAGGCAGUUUAGGCUCUUCUGGAAGCGUUUGAAGAGGAGGUUAAAAACCUCCUAAUCCAACUUGAAGCUACUUGGAGACUGAUGAGAGACCAGCAGGACAGCUUUCUUUAAGAGGCCGGCGGCUGUGCUUCCUCAGCUGUACCCAAAGGACAUGCUUAGAGGAUCAAGUCACCAUGAACAGCAACUUUCCUCUAGGUAAAUGCCAUCUAUCCCAGUGAGAGGGGGCGUGCUUGUUCACAGUUUGUUUUUCCCAGAGAAAUAACUCCUGCUCAGUUCUUGAAAUAGUUGUUGUUUCUAAGUGUGUGUGUGAAUAAUCUUGGCUAGUUCAUGAAAAUAAGAAAAAUGUUGUUUUAAAUUUCACUUAUUUUCAAUUCUUUACAGUCAAUUGCUUUUAAGCACCACUCCAGGUGCAGUAGUUCCUCAUCUUGAGCUUGCCUUCACAUUUAUAUCUGUUUUCAGGAAACUGAGAUGAUAGAAACGUUAAAACAGAUUGGAUUCAGAAUAAAAUUAAAGUAUCAUCAUAAAAAGAUCUUUUAGAGUAUAUGAUAUUUCUCUACUAAAGCAGACUGAAAAUGCCCCUGUGGUAUGUUGAUGAUGCAAAACCCAAUACAAGAAAACAUGAAAACAUAAUUAGAAUUUUAAUUUAAUUUUUAAUGAGAAAAUUUAAUUAAAGUCUUCUACUUAUAAUACUUAAAUUCUAUGGUGAUAUCAAGCAUCUGAAAUGCUACAGAUUUGAGAAAAAUGUUAAUUUCCUAUAAAUAAAUUUCUUUGAACUACA
Taeniopygia guttata (zebra finch) is the source of this 8297-nucleotide non-coding RNA. NCBI's taxonomy places the organism in Eukaryota, Metazoa, Chordata, Aves, Passeriformes, Estrildidae. The record is from RefSeq and is a predicted model, not a curated record.